Molecule: ribosomal RNA, 677 nt
Filed under: Pseudomonas syringae pv. actinidiae
Lineage: Bacteria; Pseudomonadati; Pseudomonadota; Gammaproteobacteria; Pseudomonadales; Pseudomonadaceae
Description: partial 23S ribosomal RNA
Rfam family: Bacterial large subunit ribosomal RNA
Source: RNAcentral
AUUUUGGGUUAUUUGGGUUUAUAGUAAGUGUUUUUCUAAAUGUAACUUUGUGUAAUUAAGUAUCAUUCAAUAAGUAAUUUUAUUAACUUUUUUGUUUCUCAUUUACAUCCCGUCUGUUUAUUAAAAACAUUUCCAUAUCAUUUAUUUUAUAUGGUAGUACCUGCUCUAUGUGUUAUAAAUGGCCGCAGUAUCUUGACUGUGCGAAGGUAGCAUAAUUAAUUGCCCCUUAAAUGGGGGCUUGUUUGAAUGGUUUGACGUGGUUGUCUUUAACAUAAGAGUUUUUAUUGAAAUUAAUGUUGUGAAUUCAGAAUUUACAUUAGUUAAUUAGACGGAAAGACCCUAGGAUCUUUACAAAUUUUGCUUGGGGCAAGUGAGAAUUAUUUAUUUGCUUUAAGACCCUUAUAAAAGUUUAUAGGUUUAAGUUACCCUAGGGAUAACAGAGUAAUAGUUUAUUAGAGUUCUUAUCGAUUAAACUGUUUGCUACCUCGAUGUUGACUUGGGUUAAUGCUCUGGCGCAGUAGUUAGAGGUUUGGGUCUGUUCGACCCUAAGUACCCCCAUGAGUUGAGUUAAGACCGGCGUAAGCCAGGUCGGUUCUUAUCUAUUUUACUAAAAUAGUUUGCAAUCCUUUCGUACUAACAAACUAGAAAAAUAGAUAAGAACCGACCUGGCUUACGCC